CCCAUCUCAGGAUCGCACCUGGAGAGUUUCCAGUCCUCUACCAGUCUCGACUACAGGAGGGAGAGUCAAGCAGAGGCCUACCCAUUCCGUUCCUAGCAUGGCCAGGGGCUAGCGAGUGGCACACAAUCUGCUACAAGU
This is a small nucleolar RNA of Tachyglossus aculeatus (Australian echidna), 138 nucleotides long. The record is from RefSeq and is a predicted model, not a curated record. Lineage: Eukaryota; Metazoa; Chordata; Mammalia; Monotremata; Tachyglossidae.